UACUCGAGUGGCGAACGGGUGAGUAACACGUGGGUGAUCUGCCCUGCACUUCGGGAUAAGCCUGGGAAACUGGGUCUAAUACCGGAUAGGAGCUCCUGCUGCAUGGUGGGGGUUGGAAAGUUUCGGCGGUUGGGGAUGGACUCGCGGCUUAUCAGCUUGUUGGUGGGGUAGUGGCUUACCAAGGCUUUGACGGGUAGCCGGCCUGAGAGGGUGACCGGCCACAUUGGGACUGAGAUACGGCCCAG
This 245-nucleotide ribosomal RNA is filed under the name uncultured Actinomycetales bacterium. Its description in RNAcentral is "partial 16S ribosomal RNA". It matches the Rfam family "Bacterial small subunit ribosomal RNA", at positions 88 to 334 of the family's 1533-position model. The record is from RNAcentral. Lineage: Bacteria; Bacillati; Actinomycetota; Actinomycetes; Actinomycetales.